RNAcentral lists this ribosomal RNA (252 nucleotides) under uncultured bacterium. RNAcentral's name for it is "partial 16S ribosomal RNA". It matches the Rfam family "Bacterial small subunit ribosomal RNA", at positions 524 to 776 of the family's 1533-position model. The record is from RNAcentral.
UACGUAGGGCGCAAGCGUUAUCCGGAAUUAUUGGGCGUAAAGAGCUCGUAGGCGGUUUGUCGCGUCUGCUGUGAAAGACCGGGGCUCAACUCCGGUUCUGCAGUGGGUACGGGCAGACUAGAGUGAUGUAGGGGAGACUGGAAUUCCUGGUGUAGCGGUGAAAUGCGCAGAUAUCAGGAGGAACACCGAUGGCGAAGGCAGGUCUCUGGGCAUUAACUGACGCUGAGGAGCGAAAGCAUGGGAGCGAACAGG